Molecule: ribosomal RNA, 246 nt
Filed under: Triticum aestivum (bread wheat)
Lineage: Eukaryota; Viridiplantae; Streptophyta; Magnoliopsida; Poales; Poaceae
Description: partial small subunit ribosomal RNA
Source: RNAcentral
UGUUCUUUCUGUUGGAACAAAGAGACUUCAAAUCACCUGUUCUUCACAUGUCCUGUGGCCAGGGUGGUCUGGAGGACGGUGGGGUGUGUUCUGGGUACGGACACAUGUCCGAACAAUAUUUGGCAAUACUUUUCAUGGUGCUACGUUUUCCUUCCUGAUGGAGGAAAGUUUUACACAUUUGUGCUUGCAGCCGUGUGCUGGGCUAUAUGGAAUUGCCGAAACCAAGCUAGACUCCUCUCGUUGUGA